RNAcentral lists this ribosomal RNA (446 nucleotides) under uncultured bacterium. RNAcentral describes it as "partial 16S ribosomal RNA". It matches the Rfam family "Bacterial small subunit ribosomal RNA", at positions 338 to 795 of the family's 1533-position model. The record is from RNAcentral.
CCUACGGGUGGCAGCAGUCGAGAAUCAUUCACAAUGGGGGAAACCCUGAUGGUGCGACGCCGCGUGGGGGAAUGAAGGUCUUUGGAUUGUAAACCCCUGUCAUGUGGGAGCAAAUUAAAAAGAUAGUACCACAAGAGGAAGAGACGGCUAACUCUGUGCCAGCAGCCGCGGUAAUACAGAGGUCUCAAGCGUUGUUCGGAAUCACUGGGCGUAAAGCGUGCGUAGGCUGUUUCGUAAGUCGUGUGUGAAAGGCGCGGGCUCAACCCGCGGACGGCACCUGAUACUGCGAGACUAGAGUAAGGGAGGGGGAACCGGAAUUCUCGGUGUAGCAGUGAAAUGCGUAGAUAUCGAGAGGAACACUCGUGGCGAAGGCGGGUUCCUGGACAUUAACUGACGCUGAGGCACGAAGGCCAGGGGAGCGAAAGGGAUUAGAUACCCCAGUAGUC